AGAGUUUGAUCCUGGCUCAGGACGAACGCUGGCGGCGUGCUUAACACAUGCAAGUCGUACGAGACGAUUGAAAGCUUGCUUUUGAAAGUCGAGUGGCAAGCGGGUGAGUAACGCGUAGACAACCUGCCGUAAAGAUGGGGACAACAGUCCGAAAGGACUGCUAAUACCGAAUGUUGUGGAACUCCCGCAUGGGAGCUCCACUAAAGAUGGCCUCUACUUGUAAGCUAUCGCUUUACGAUGGGUCUGCGUCUGAUUAGCUAGUUGGUGGGGUAACGGCCUACCAAGGCGACGAUCAGUAGCCGGNCUGANAGGAUGAACGGCCACAUUGGAACUGAGACACGGUCCAGANUCCUACGGGANGGCAGCAGUGGGGGAACUUCCGCAAUGGGNGCAGNCUGACGNACNACNCCNNGU
RNAcentral lists this ribosomal RNA (414 nucleotides) under uncultured bacterium. RNAcentral describes it as "partial 16S ribosomal RNA". It matches the Rfam family "Bacterial small subunit ribosomal RNA", at positions 8 to 402 of the family's 1533-position model. The record is from RNAcentral.